CCUACGGGAGGCAGCAGUGGGGAAUAUUGGACAAUGGGCGAAAGCCUGAUCCAGCCAUGCCGCGUGUGUGAAGAAGGUCUUCGGAUUGUAAAGCACUUUAAGUUGGGAGGAAGGGCAGUAAGCUAAUACCUUGCUGUUUUGACGUUACCGACAGAAUAAGCACCGGCUAACUUCGUGCCAGCAGCCGCGGUAAUACGAAGGGUGCAAGCGUUAAUCGGAAUUACUGGGCGUAAAGCGCGCGUAGGUGGUUUGUUAAGUUGAAUGUGAAAGCCCCGGGCUCAACCUGGGAACUGCAUCCAAAACUGGCAAGCUAGAGUAUGGCAGAGGGUGGUGGAAUUUCCUGUGUAGCGGUGAAAUGCGUAGAUAUAGGAAGGAACACCAGUGGCGAAGGCGACCACCUGGGCUAAUACUGACACUGAGGUGCGAAAGCGUGGGGAGC
RNAcentral lists this ribosomal RNA (439 nucleotides) under uncultured Pseudomonas sp. RNAcentral describes it as "bacterial SSU rRNA". It matches the Rfam family "Bacterial small subunit ribosomal RNA", at positions 338 to 769 of the family's 1533-position model. The record is from RNAcentral. Lineage: Bacteria; Pseudomonadati; Pseudomonadota; Gammaproteobacteria; Pseudomonadales; Pseudomonadaceae.